This is a long non-coding RNA of Triticum dicoccoides, 493 nucleotides long. RefSeq lists it as uncharacterized. The transcript is spliced from 3 exons. The record is from RefSeq and is a predicted model, not a curated record. NCBI's taxonomy places the organism in Eukaryota, Viridiplantae, Streptophyta, Magnoliopsida, Poales, Poaceae.
UCAACGAGUAACACAACCACGGCCUGUCUGUCCAGAUCGAGCAGAACGAGUUGUCCCCCUCGCGCACAGCCGCCUCGCCGUUCCCCUGCUCCACCCCGACACCCAGCCGCCGCGCCGUUCCUCUCGUCCUCGCCGGUCUUCGGUCGGCCGGAGCCCGGAGCCCAGCCGCCCAGGAGGCUCCUUGCUCCCGCCUCCCCUUCCCGGCUUCCCACCCGCCCAGUCCAGGGCUCCAGGCGUUUGGCUCAAUUUUCUAAUUGUUGAGGAAUGAAGAGGGCCAGACGAGACAUUAUUUCUCUUUUUCCAGAAGAAGAGAAACAAUGUCUCGUCAAGGCCGGGAAUAUGUCGGAUGUGGCCGAAGAGCAAACCGGAGAACUUGUGUGUAUGCCAGAAACAUAGUCUUUUUGAACUUCUCAAGUUAGAACUUUCACAUGUCAUAUUGCUUAUCAAAAAAAAUGGGGCAGACCACCCUGGUGUCAAAUACUAGCUCCGCCAC